RNAcentral lists this ribosomal RNA (253 nucleotides) under uncultured bacterium. RNAcentral describes it as "partial 16S ribosomal RNA". It matches the Rfam family "Bacterial small subunit ribosomal RNA", at positions 524 to 776 of the family's 1533-position model. The record is from RNAcentral.
UACGUAGGGUGCAAGCGUUGUCCGGAAUUAUUGGGCGUAAAGAGCUCGUAGGCGGUCUGUCGCGUCGGCUGUGAAACCCCGGGGCUCAACCCCGGGCCUGCAGCCGAUACGGGCAGACUAGAGUUCGGUAGGGGAGACUGGAAUUCCUGGUGUAGCGGUGAAAUGCGCAGAUAUCAGGAGGAACACCGGUGGCGAAGGCGGGUCUCUGGGCCGAUACUGACGCUGAGGCACGAAGGCCAGGGGAGCAAACGGG